RNAcentral lists this small RNA (78 nucleotides) under Flavobacterium degerlachei. RNAcentral describes it as "Flavo-1 RNA". It matches the Rfam family "Flavo-1 RNA". Lineage: Bacteria; Pseudomonadati; Bacteroidota; Flavobacteriia; Flavobacteriales; Flavobacteriaceae. The record is from RNAcentral.
UAUUUGCGUGAGGGAUAGUAGCGGCAUCCUUUUGUGGAGCUUGCGGAACAAAAGAUACAGCGAAUAGCCCGACCCGAA